AAAAAAAAAGAUUGGAACCAUACAGAGAUUAGCUUGGCCCCUGAACAAGAAUGACAUGCAAAUUCAUGAAGUGUUCCAUUAAAAA
Camelus dromedarius (Arabian camel) is the source of this 85-nucleotide small nuclear RNA. The record is from Ensembl. NCBI's taxonomy places the organism in Eukaryota, Metazoa, Chordata, Mammalia, Artiodactyla, Camelidae.